Molecule: long non-coding RNA, 477 nt
Filed under: Vulpes vulpes (red fox)
Lineage: Eukaryota; Metazoa; Chordata; Mammalia; Carnivora; Canidae
Description: lncRNA (ENSVVUG00000027731.1)
Source: RNAcentral
CAAAACCAAAACUCUUGGUGACGCCACUAGCGCUGCGCCGCCUGCCACACACCACUUCCGGUGUGCCAUUUCCGGCGCGCCACACCCCUCGCCGAGCCAGUCGGGCGGGAAGGCGCUAGGCUCCUCCCUGCUGGCGGCCAUAGCAGCAGACGCAGGCCGCCUCGCUGGGCUUUUCCGGCCUGGGUCCUCGGCGUCGCGGAGUUUCUGGGCGGAUUUUACCACGUGCGCCUUGCCGAAUCUGCAUGCAGUACCAGGGGGACUCCUACGGUGCCUUUCCAGACUUUCAUGCGAAGCUCCCACUUCAGUCCGGAAAACGGAGCCACCGGAUGCCAGAGCCCGGCCUUAAAAGACAUGGAGCAGAAACCAAGGGACCACCGCCCUACCACCACCCUCCUCCCCGCCCCCCAUCACAAGUUUCCCAGAUUUCCUGAUGUCUCGGGAUUUGAAUGUUCAUUAUGGCCGGUGAGAGAUGGCUGA